AGGAUAUCUCGUUUCCGCAGACCAGGCCAUGGAAACCAUAUAAAAAGACUCGCAUCACAAUGCUCCACAAACGACUCAACGUCUUCAUUAGCUCCUGUAGGUGAAUUGGUUUUGCCCUCGUCCCAGGAAGAUGGCUUACCAGCAGCAAUGCAAACAGACCUGCCUGCCUCCUCCAUGCUGUGUGACCAAGUGCACUACCAAAUGCCUGGAUCCCUGCUGCAAAGUCUGUGUGACCAAGUGUGUGACAAAAUGCGUAGAUCCCUGCUGUAAAGUCUGCGUGAAGAAGUGCACUAAAUGCGUGCAUCCAUGCCCGUGCCCGUGCCCUCAAAAGUGUAUUCCAUGUCCUCCGUGCCCUCAAAAGUGUCCUCCAUGCCCUCCAUGUCCUCCGUGCCCUCAAAAGUGUCCUCCGUGCCCUCCAUGUCCUCCGUGCCCUCAAAAGUGUCCUCCGUGCCUUCCGUGCCCUCAAAAGUGUCCUCCGUGCCCUCCAUGUCCUCCAUGCCUUCCAAAAUGCCCACCUGUGCAGCACUGUUGCAAAGAAAAGAAGCUCUGUUAGUGCCCACGGAACCACCCGACGUCUACGGAAUGAAAAUGAAUUACAGCCCCUCGCGCAGUAGCUCUCUCCUCACUCUGCUGGUCGGGCAUUCCCCUUGCAGUGUGACGUGUAACACUUGUGAUGUAGACUCUUUAGUGCUUGUGAUUUUCCCCCUCUGGUCUCUUUUCUCAUCCCGUCCUUUCAUGUAGAUGUGCCAUAAUAAAAGCUACAAUUCAUGACA
Molecule: non-coding RNA, 773 nt
Organism: Chrysemys picta bellii (western painted turtle)
Lineage: Eukaryota; Metazoa; Chordata; Testudines; Emydidae
Source: RefSeq, a predicted model, not a curated record